UCGUGCUAGGCGGGGAGCUAGCGGUGCCCUGUAACCCGAAAUCCGCUUAUGCGGGGUUGAAAGUCCUUUAGGAGAUCCUUGACGAGUUGUCCCUCUGCCGUUUCCGGAGGGGAGAUGGACCUCACGUAACAGGCGCUUAUGAACCCCGUCAGGUCCGGGAGGAAGCAGCGGUAAGUAAGAAAGCCUGUGUCGUGAUGUAAUCUAUCUAUUUUCUCCGGGCUGCACGGACCUCUCGGUCAUGGUUUGAAUAAGGAUGCGCGA
This 261-nucleotide signal recognition particle RNA is filed under the name Desulfobacteraceae bacterium. RNAcentral's name for it is "signal recognition particle sRNA large type". It matches the Rfam family "Bacterial large signal recognition particle RNA". From Rfam's summary of the family: The signal recognition particle (SRP) is a universally conserved ribonucleoprotein involved in the co-translational targeting of proteins to membranes. Archaeal SRP consists of a 7S RNA and homologues of the eukaryotic SRP19 and SRP54 proteins. Lineage: Bacteria; Pseudomonadati; Thermodesulfobacteriota; Desulfobacteria; Desulfobacterales; Desulfobacteraceae. The record is from RNAcentral.